AGAAUGUAAAAACAGUCCCGAUGUCUUCUGCUUAUUUCUGGAUUAGGCAGUGAAACAAAAUCACAGAUUUUGUGAAGAAAGCUUACCUUACUUCCUUACUUAUUUUAGCAUGGAACUGGGUGACAAGACAAAGCUUGGGCAUCCCAUAUAGUGUGCUAUAUGUGUUGAAACACUGAGGCAGUGACUUAAGCAGAAAGUUUCCAGUUUUGUCUUGUGAGAAAAAUAAGGUUGAAGUGUUUGAUGGUCCAUAUAUUAGGUGCCAAUCACAGAAUGAGCUAUUUUUGGAGACCAUGUCUGGCAUUGAAAAAGAAGCAUGGAAUGCUUUUGUUGCAGUUGUAUCUGAUUUCCUGAGAAACAGGAAGCCAUCAAAUUAUGAAGAUCUUGUGCAGACUCUGUUAACUAGUUUUCGAGCAUUGGGCUGCAACAUGAGUAUAAAUGAUGAAAUGUUAAAAAGUU
Molecule: long non-coding RNA, 456 nt
Organism: Octopus sinensis (East Asian common octopus)
Lineage: Eukaryota; Metazoa; Mollusca; Cephalopoda; Octopoda; Octopodidae
Exons: 3
Source: RefSeq, a predicted model, not a curated record